RNAcentral lists this ribosomal RNA (559 nucleotides) under uncultured Glomus. RNAcentral describes it as "SSU rRNA". It matches the Rfam family "Eukaryotic small subunit ribosomal RNA", at positions 546 to 1106 of the family's 1831-position model. Lineage: Eukaryota; Fungi; Glomeromycota; Glomeromycetes; Glomerales; Glomeraceae. The record is from RNAcentral.
AAUUGGAGGGCAAGUCUGGUGCCAGCAGCCGCGGUAAUUCCAGCUCCAAUAGCGUAUAUUAAAGUUGUUGCAGUUAAAAAGCUCGUAGUUGAAUUUCGGGGUUAGUAGGUUGGUCAUGCCUCUGGUAUGUACUGGUCUCACUGAUUCCUCCCUCCUUAUGAACCGUAAUGCCAUUAAUUUGGUGUUGCGGGGAAUUUGGACUGUUACUUUGAAAAAAUUAGAGUGUUUAAAGCAGGCUAACGCUUGAAUACAUUAGCAUGGAAUAAUGAAAUAGGACGUUCGAUCUUAUUUUGUUGGUUUCUAGGAUUGACGUAAUGAUUAAUAGGGAUAGUUGGGGGCAUUAGUAUUCAAUUGUCAGAGGUGAAAUUCUUGGAUUUAUUGAAGACUAACUACUGCGAAAGCAUUUGCCAAGGAUGUUUUCAUUAAUCAAGAACGAAAGUUAGGGGAUCGAAGACGAUCAGAUACCGUCGUAGUCUUAACCAUAAACUAUGCCGACUAGGGAUCGGAUGAUGUUAAUUUUUUAAUGACUCAUUCGGCGCCUUACGGGAAACCAAAGUGU